Molecule: ribosomal RNA, 569 nt
Filed under: Niallia nealsonii
Lineage: Bacteria; Bacillati; Bacillota; Bacilli; Caryophanales; Bacillaceae
Description: bacterial SSU rRNA
Rfam family: Bacterial small subunit ribosomal RNA
Source: RNAcentral
GCGCAGCUAUACUGCAGUCGAGCGGACUUAAAAAGCUUGCUUUUUAAGUUAGCGGCGGACGGGUGAGUAACACGUGGGCAACCUGCCUGUAAGACUGGGAUAACUUCGGGAAACCGGACCUAAUACCGGAUCAUCCUUUUCUACUCAUGUAGAAAAGCUGAAAGACGGUUUACGCUGACACUUACAGAUGGGCCCGCGGCGCAUUAGCUAGUUGGUGAGGUAACGGCUCACCAAGGCGACGAUGCGUAGCCGACCUGAGAGGGUGAUCGGCCACACUGGGACUGAGACACGGCCCAGACUCCUACGGGAGGCAGCAGUAGGGAAUCUUCCGCAAUGGACGAAAGUCUGACGGAGCAACGCCGCGUGAGUGAUGAAGGUUUUCGGAUCGUAAAACUCUGUUGUUAGGGAAGAACAAGUACGAGAGUAACUGCUCGUACCUUGACGGGACCUAACCAGAAAGCCACGGCUAACUACGUGCCAGCAGCCGCGGUAAUACGUAGGUGGCAAGCGUUGUCCGGAAUUAUUGGGCGUAAAGCGCGCGCAGGCGGUCCUUUAAGUCUGAUAUGAAA